UACGUAGGUCCCGAGCGUUGUCCGGAUUAAUUGGGCGUAAAGCGAGCGCAGGUGGUUUAUUAAGUCUGGUGUAAAAGGCAGUGGCUCAACCAUUGUAUGCAUUGGAAACUGGUAGACUUGAGUGCAGGAGAGGAGAGUGGAAUUCCAUGUGUAGCGGUGAAAUGCGUAGAUAUAUGGAGGAACACCGGUGGCGAAAGCGGCUCUCUGGCCUGUAACUGACACUGAGGCUCGAAAGCGUGGGGAGCAAACAGG
RNAcentral lists this ribosomal RNA (252 nucleotides) under uncultured bacterium. Its description in RNAcentral is "partial 16S ribosomal RNA". It matches the Rfam family "Bacterial small subunit ribosomal RNA", at positions 524 to 776 of the family's 1533-position model. The record is from RNAcentral.